Molecule: ribosomal RNA, 717 nt
Filed under: Pseudobutyrivibrio sp. P38
Lineage: Bacteria; Bacillati; Bacillota; Clostridia; Lachnospirales; Lachnospiraceae
Description: bacterial SSU rRNA
Rfam family: Bacterial small subunit ribosomal RNA
Source: RNAcentral
UCAGGAUGAACGCUGGCGGCGUGCUUAACACAUGCAAGUCGAACGAAGCAAUUUUCUACGAUCCCUUCGGGGUGACGGAUUAUUGACUGAGUGGCGGACGGGUGAGUAACGCGUGGGUAACCUACCUUGUACAGGGGGACAACAGUUGGAAACGACUGCUAAUACCGCAUAAGCGCACAGCAUCGCAUGAUGCAGUGUGAAAAGUUUUUUCGGUACAAGAUGGACCCGCGUCUGAUUAGCUAGUUGGUGAGGUAACGGCCCACCAAGGCGACGAUCAGUAGCCGACCUGAGAGGGUGACCGGCCACAUUGGGACUGAGACACGGCCCAAACUCCUACGGGAGGCAGCAGUGGGGAAUAUUGCACAAUGGGCGAAAGCCUGAUGCAGCGACGCCGCGUGAGCGAAGAAGUAUUUCGGUAUGUAAAGCUCUAUCAGCAGGGAAGAUAAUGACGGUACCUGACUAAGAAGCACCGGCUAAAUACGUGCCAGCAGCCGCGGUAAUACGUAUGGUGCAAGCGUUAUCCGGAUUUACUGGGUGUAAAGGGAGCGUAGGCGGUUUUACAAGUCUGAUGUGAAAGCCCGGGGCUCAACUCCGGUAUUGCAUUGGAAACUGUAGAACUAGAGUGUCGGAGGGGUAAGUGGAAUUCCUAGUGUAGCGGUGAAAUGCGUAGAUAUUAGGAGGAACACCAGUGGCGAAGGCGGCUUACUGGACGAUUAC